AAAAAAUCAACAAAUUAAAACAGGGACAAGACAGAGCUAACAAGAGAACUCCAUUCUU
This 58-nucleotide small RNA is filed under the name Arabidopsis thaliana (thale cress). Its description in RNAcentral is "ATSL168170". The record is from RNAcentral. Lineage: Eukaryota; Viridiplantae; Streptophyta; Magnoliopsida; Brassicales; Brassicaceae.